UACGGGGGGAGCAAGCGUUGUUCGGAUUUACUGGGCGUAAAGGGCGCGUAGGCGGUCGUGACAAGUCACUUGUGAAAUCUCCGGGCUUAACUCGGAACGGUCAAGUGAUACUGUCGGACUAGAGUACAGAAGGGGCAACUGGAAUUCUCGGUGUAGCGGUGAAAUGCGUAGAUAUCGAGAGGAACACCUGCGGCGAAGGCGGGUUGCUGGGCUGAUACUGACGCUGAGGCGACGGAAAGCCAGGGGAGGCGAACGGG
Molecule: ribosomal RNA, 257 nt
Filed under: uncultured bacterium
Lineage: Bacteria
Description: partial 16S ribosomal RNA
Rfam family: Bacterial small subunit ribosomal RNA
Source: RNAcentral